Molecule: non-coding RNA, 1298 nt
Organism: Pelobates cultripes (western spadefoot toad)
Lineage: Eukaryota; Metazoa; Chordata; Amphibia; Anura; Pelobatidae
Source: the annotation of a GenBank genome assembly
UCUAAUUCUAGUACAAGAACACUAGAAUUUAGUUCGAACUGUAUUCGUACAGUGUUAAUAUUUGGGGGGCAGAUGGUAAUUUUAACCACAAAUUAAUUAACCAUAGCCCUUACAAAACAUAUCACAUCUUUUACAUUUUCUUUUUCAAUCAGUCCAAAAAUUAAAGACCACACUUGGCCUUCGAAGCAACGUAAAUUCAAAUGCUCUGGUCUUGCUUUAUAUGGUCGGUUCCAACCGUACUCAACCUAAACAUAAAAGCAAUAUGGUCCUGUGCUCGCUCAUAAAAAGACAAGUGCCUGAGUUUACUCUGAACAUAUGUAUAUAUACAUAUAUAUGAAAUUAAUGCAGCACAUUGUCUUGGCUAGAAAAUAUUUACUAUAGAUUAUGGAAAAAGUCUCGGUAGUGAACCAGUGAAAUAUUGAUUAGUUAUCUGGCUAUAAUAAAUAUUUUCGAAUAGUGGAGUGCUCUGUAUUUGGGUUUAUUUUAUUUUAUUAUCGGCUUGGAUCGUUCUAUGUAUAGUGUGGAGAAUUUGUAUUGUAGGGUGUGUAUAAAUAUAUGCUUACCGUCAACAGUCUGUGAACAUCACAUUACAUGUAUACUGCCAUGCACAGGAAUGAGAGGAGAAUUAAUGCACAUCUUGCUUACAUAUAUGACUGGCACACGCUGAUGUGUUUAGGGGUUUUAACUGUUCAAAUUUCAUGAUUAAUAUAAGAAAGACCAAAAUAAAAAAAAUGUAAAAAUGUUACGUUAAUGCCUUUGGUGCAGGGAAGGGUAAAAACCUAUUAACUCCAGUUUCCUACCAAUCACUGUCACAUGUUUUAUUGUAGUUUUGUUUGGUUUUGUUACAAUAUUAUUCCUGUUUUUAGUAUUAUUAAUUUAUCAGAAAGGUCCAGACAUGUCAACCAGAAAUCAGAUAUUUCAAACUCUGCAUUAUUUAUUUGAUGCUUUUCUUUUCUUUUUUUCUGGUUGUGUUUUUGUUGUUUUUUUGUUUUGUUUUGUUUUUUUUCUUUCCUGGUCAAUUGUCUUUUAUACACUUGGGAUUAUAAAUGAUGUAUAUGUUGAAAUUAAGACCUUGAAAUACUCUGUUAAUUGUGCAAGUAACUGAUUUGUUUUCUCCAUCCUUAUAUUGACUUCUGGGUCUUCACUGCAUAAAAAUACCGUUUAUAAUCUGCUUGAUGAAAAUCUUUAGAUAAUGUGUGUCUUUGUAUGUAUGCAAAUGCAUGUGUUCACGUUUGUGCAAAAAUGGAUUUUACCAAAGGGGUGCACAGAUGUCUGUUUUUAACUGGUUGCAAGUAGAG